Triticum aestivum (bread wheat) is the source of this 805-nucleotide long non-coding RNA. RefSeq lists it as uncharacterized. The record is from RefSeq and is a predicted model, not a curated record. NCBI's taxonomy places the organism in Eukaryota, Viridiplantae, Streptophyta, Magnoliopsida, Poales, Poaceae. The transcript has 3 exons.
UCCAUCGCCUCUGCCUCUCUCUCUCCGUUCUUCCACCUAGCUCACUCAAAUCUGCAUCAUUUUCGUAUGAGAUUCAAUAGAGAAUUUGCUUGGGGUUGUGUAGGUUGGUUUGAUCACUAGAAAUAUCUUUUUUUUUUUACGCCGGCGAUGCUGUUGGUCGGCGCUGGCCAAGCUCGACCCGCGCGGACGGAAGACGAUGUGGGAACAGAGCAACACGUGGGCGAGGAGACGGGGCGACGUGGGUUGAGAUAGGAGUGAAGCUGCCGCCGGCGUCACGCCCGCAUCAACAGCCGGAGUUCCGACGGAGUUCCUAGGGUUCCUCCUCCCUUCGCUGUCCAGCUGCGGCUUGCGCUCCCCGCUCCUUUCCCUACGCAGCUCUACGGUAGCGGCAUCCUACUCGCACGCUGUCGACAAUACGGCCGAGCCACCGCAGGCGACCUACUCGAAAAUUGGUCAGCAUGAUCCGGUUGUCGCCAUGGAUGCUGUCAAGAAGGCCAACUCCGGCCACCCCGGGAUGCCUAUGGGCCAUAUCCUCUACAACGAGGUGAUUAGUGUAAACUGUACUAAGUAAGUAUGUCGUGAAAGCCUUCAAUUGCGUGAAAGUUCACUGCCCAGAAAGGUACCAGCGUGGAUGAGGAUUUUUCACCAGCCUCGAAGAAUGAAACCUUUCUUUGGAUGAGACGAUGAGGGGGGAAUUUACAAGCUGCUUCCAAAUUUAUUUGGUCUGUUAUAUUCAGGCAAUCUGCUAUGUUCAGUCAACGAAAACUCGACAUGUUUGCUGUAUUGGUCAUGGACAUACAUGAUG